CAGUCGCCGCGGGAAUACGGAGGGUGCAAGCGUUACUCGGAAUCACUGGGCGUAAAGGACGCGUAGGCGGAUUAUCAAGUCUCUUGUGAAAUCUAACGGCUUAACCGUUAAACUGCUUGGGAAACUGAUAAUCUAGAGUAAGGGAGAGGCAGAUGGAAUUCUUGGUGUAGGGGUAAAAUCCGUAGAUAUCAAGAAGAAUACCUAUUGCGAAGGCGAUCUGCUGGAACUUAACUGACGCUAAUGCGUGAAAGCGUGGGGAGCAAACAGGAUUAGAUACCCCCGUAGUCCCUGUCUCUUAUAC
RNAcentral lists this ribosomal RNA (301 nucleotides) under uncultured bacterium. RNAcentral describes it as "partial 16S ribosomal RNA". It matches the Rfam family "Bacterial small subunit ribosomal RNA", at positions 509 to 807 of the family's 1533-position model. The record is from RNAcentral.